GACGAACGCUGGCGGCGUGCUUAACACAUGCAAGUCGAACGGAAAGGCCCUGCUUUUGUGGGGUGCUCGAGUGGCGAACGGGUGAGUAACACGUGAGUAACCUGCCCUUGACUUUGGGAUAACUUCAGGAAACUGGGGCUAAUACCGGAUAGGAUCUCCUGCUGCAUGGUGGGGGUGGGAAAGAUUCGGCGGUUGGGGAUGGACUCGCGGCUUAUCAGCUUGGUGGUGGGGUAGUGGCUUACCAAGGCUUUGACGGGUAGCCGGCCUGAGCGGGUGAGCGGACAAGUUGGGACGGAGAUGAGGCCCAGCCUCGAACGGGAGGGAGGGGUGGGGUGGGUAGCCCAGUGGGCGGGAGCAUGGUGCGGCGCCGCCGCGUGGGGGGUGAGGGGCUGGGGGUAGGAAAGCGAUUUCGUCUGUGACGAGGCGUUAGUGACGGUAAUGGGUAAAGAAGCCCCGGCUAACUACGUG
RNAcentral lists this ribosomal RNA (468 nucleotides) under uncultured bacterium. RNAcentral describes it as "partial 16S ribosomal RNA". It matches the Rfam family "Bacterial small subunit ribosomal RNA", at positions 28 to 507 of the family's 1533-position model. The record is from RNAcentral.